GACAGAGGGUGCAAACGUUGUUCGGAAUUACUGGGCGUAAAGCGCGUGUAGGCUGCUCUGCAAGUCGGAUGUGAAAGCCCUGGGCUCAACCUAGGAAGUGCACUCGAAACUGCAGAGCUUGAGUCUCGGAGAGGAUCGCGGAAUUCUCGGUGUAGAGGUGAAAUUCGUAGAUAUCGAGAGGAACACCGGUGGCGAAGGCGGCGAUCUGGACGAUGACUGACGCUGAGACGCAAAAGCGUGGGGAGCAAACAGG
This 253-nucleotide ribosomal RNA is filed under the name uncultured bacterium. RNAcentral describes it as "partial 16S ribosomal RNA". It matches the Rfam family "Bacterial small subunit ribosomal RNA", at positions 524 to 776 of the family's 1533-position model. The record is from RNAcentral.